GCCGGGGUAGCUCAAUCGGUAGAGCGUGUGGCUCUUAGCCCUCUUGCUAAGGUUACCUCAAGGUCGCGAGUUCGAGCCUCGCCUUCGGCU
This is a non-coding RNA of Patellaria atrata CBS 101060, 90 nucleotides long. NCBI's taxonomy places the organism in Eukaryota, Fungi, Ascomycota, Dothideomycetes, Patellariales, Patellariaceae. The record is from the annotation of a GenBank genome assembly.